GUACACUCCUGCGGGAGGCAGCAGUGGGGAAUUUUGGACAAUGGGCGAAAGCCUGAUCCAGCAAUGCCGCGUGAGUGAAGAAGGCCUUCGGGUUGUAAAGCUCUUUUGUCAGGGAAGAAACGGUGAGAGCUAAUAUCUUUUGCUAAUGACGGUACCUGAAGAAUAAGCACCGGCUAACUACGUGCCAGCAGCCGCGGUAAUACGUAGGGUGCAAGCGUUAAUCGGAAUUACUGGGCGUAAAGCGUGCGCAGGCGGUUUUGUAAGUCUGAUGUGAAAUCCCCGGGCUCAACCUGGGAAUUGCAUUGGGGACUGCAAGGCUAGAAUCUGGCAGAGGGGGGUAGAAUUCCACGUGUAGCAGUGAAAUGCGUAGAUAUGUGGAGGAACACCGAUGGCGAAGGCAGCCCCCUGGGUCAAGAUUGACGCUCAUGCACGAAAGCGUGGGGAGCAAACAGGAUUAGAAACCCUAGUAGUCCCA
This 475-nucleotide ribosomal RNA is filed under the name uncultured organism. RNAcentral's name for it is "partial 16S ribosomal RNA". It matches the Rfam family "Bacterial small subunit ribosomal RNA", at positions 331 to 797 of the family's 1533-position model. The record is from RNAcentral.